AGAUUGAACGCUGGCGGCAUGCCUUACACAUGCAAGUCGAACGGUAACGCGGGGCAACCUGGCGACGAGUGGCGAACGGGUGAGUAAUGCAUCGGAACGUGCCCAGUAGUGGGGGAUAGCUCGGCGAAAGCCGGAUUAAUACCGCAUACGACCUAAGGGUGAAAGCGGGGGACCGCAAGGCCUCGCGCUAUUGGAGCGGCCGAUGUCAGAUUAGGUUGUUGGUGGGGUAAAGGCCCACCAAGGCGACGAUCCGUAGCUGGUCUGAGAGGAUGAUCAGCCACACGUGGAACUGAGACACGGUCCAGACUCCGUACGGGAGCAGCAGGUAGGGAAUAUUGGACGAAUGGGCGCAAGCCUGAUCCAGCCAUGCCGCGUGUGUGAAG
This 383-nucleotide ribosomal RNA is filed under the name uncultured soil bacterium. RNAcentral's name for it is "bacterial SSU rRNA". It matches the Rfam family "Bacterial small subunit ribosomal RNA", at positions 26 to 410 of the family's 1533-position model. The record is from RNAcentral.